This 88-nucleotide transfer RNA is filed under the name Didymella heteroderae. It matches the Rfam family "tRNA". Rfam says of the family: Transfer RNA (tRNA) molecules are approximately 80 nucleotides in length. Their secondary structure includes four short double-helical elements and three loops (D, anti-codon, and T loops). The record is from Rfam by way of RNAcentral. Lineage: Eukaryota; Fungi; Ascomycota; Dothideomycetes; Pleosporales; Didymellaceae.
GCAUCGGUGGUUUAGUGGUAAAAUUAGCCGUUGCCAUCCAUUACAGGACAAUUUCGGCUAGCCCCGGGUUCGAUUCCCGGCCGAUGCA